GCCAUAUCAUGUUGAAACAGCAGUUCCCAAACAAUCACCAAAGUUAAGCAACAUUGAACCUGAUCAGUACUGAGAUGGGUGACCACUUGGGAAUAUGAGGUGC
Acanthosepion pharaonis is the source of this 103-nucleotide non-coding RNA. The record is from the annotation of a GenBank genome assembly. Lineage: Eukaryota; Metazoa; Mollusca; Cephalopoda; Sepiida; Sepiidae.